GAGCAGGUAGCCUAGUGGGUAGAGCAGGUAGCCUAGUGGUUAGAGCAGGUAGCCUAGUGGGUAGAGCAGGUAGCCUAGUGGUUAGAGCAGGUAGCCUAGUGGUUAGAGCAGGUAGCCUAGUGGUUAGAGCAGGUAGCCUAGUGGUUAGAGCAGGUAGCCUAGUGGGUAGAGCAGGUAGCCUAGUGGGUAGAGCAGGUAGCCUAGUGGUUAGAGCAGGUAGCCUAGUGGUUAGAGCAGGUAGCCUAGUGGUU
Long non-coding RNA from Oncorhynchus tshawytscha (Chinook salmon), 251 nucleotides. The record is from Ensembl. Lineage: Eukaryota; Metazoa; Chordata; Actinopteri; Salmoniformes; Salmonidae.